Molecule: ribosomal RNA, 501 nt
Filed under: uncultured bacterium
Lineage: Bacteria
Description: partial 16S ribosomal RNA
Rfam family: Bacterial small subunit ribosomal RNA
Source: RNAcentral
AUUGAACGCUGGCGGCAGGCUUAACACAUGCAAGUCGAGCGGGGGAAGGUAGCUUGCUACCGGACCUAGCGGCGGACGGGUGAGUAAUGCUUAAGAAUCUGCCUAUUAGUGGGGGACAACAUCUCGAAAGGGAUGCUAAUACCGCAUACGUCCUACGGGAGAAAGCAGGGGAUCUUCGGACCUUGCGCUAAUAGAUGAGCCUAAGUCGGAUUAGCUAGUUGGUGGGGUAAAGGCCUACCAAGGCGACGAUCUGUAGCGGGUCUGAGAGGAUGAUCCGCCACACUGGGACUGAGACACGGCCCAGACUCCUACGGGAGGCAGCAGUGGGGAAUAUUGGACAAUGGGGGGAACCCUGAUCCAGCCAUGCCGCGUGUGUGAAGAAGGCCUUGUGGUUGUAAAGCACUUUAAGCGAGGAGGAGGCUACUUUAGUUAAUACCUAGAGAUAGUGGACGUUACUCGCAGAAUAAGCACCGGCUAACUCUGUGCCAGCCGCCGCUGUAA